CCUGGAAUUAAUAAUAAUAAAAAGGGGCAAUCCUGAGCCAAAUCCUGUUUUCCGAAACCAAAGGUUCAGAAAGUGAAAAAAAGGAUAGGUGCAGAGACUCAACGGAAGCUGUUCUAACAAAUGGAGUUGGCUGCGUUAGUAGAGAAAUCUUUCCAUCGAAAAUUCAGAAAGACUGAAGUGAAGGAUAAACGUAUAUACAUACGUAUUGAAUACUAUAUCAAAUGAUUAAUGACGAAACAACUGAAUCUGUAUUUUUUUUUAUAUAUGAAAAACGGAAGAAUUGGUGUGAAUAGAUUCCACAUUGAAGAAAGAGUCAAAUAUUCAUUGAUCAAAUGAUUCACUCCAUAGUCUGAUAGAUCUUUUCAAGAACUGAUUAAUCGGACGAGAAUAAAGAUAGAGUCCCGUUCUACAUGUCAAUGCCUGCAACAAUGAAAUUUAUAGUAAGAGGAAAAUCCGUCGACUUUAAAAAUCGUGAGGGUUCAAGUCCCUCUAUCCCCAA
RNAcentral lists this precursor RNA (499 nucleotides) under Ladenbergia pavonii. Its description in RNAcentral is "transfer RNA-Leu". The stretch from base 1 to 423 matches the Rfam family "Group I catalytic intron", at positions 70 to 253 of the family's 253-position model. From Rfam's summary of the family: Group I catalytic introns are large self-splicing ribozymes. They catalyse their own excision from mRNA, tRNA and rRNA precursors in a wide range of organisms. The record is from RNAcentral. Lineage: Eukaryota; Viridiplantae; Streptophyta; Magnoliopsida; Gentianales; Rubiaceae.